CGCGGCUGGACGUGCAAGAGACACACAGCAAAGGGACUUCGGCAGGAGCUUCCCACCAUGGAGCUCAGCUUGGAAGGGGACCAACAUGGCCAAGAUUGAGCCGUUGCAGAAGACAACCCCUGGAAUGGCAGCAGCUGCAGUGAAAGUGGAAAGGAAAAGCCUGGCCUCGAGCUCUUUGAUAUGUUGGUAAACUCUCCUAAACGCCCGCCUGCAUUUGGAUCGAGGAUCUGGGUCACUUCGGAGCCUGUCAAGAAAUAUAUUUGGGUUUGGUGAAAAAUCAUCUGUCCCUGCACAAAUUGCAUUUAAAAUAGAGGCGCCUGGAGAAACACAGACACCCCCCCCCUUCCCUUGCUGCAGUCAUUUUUCCAGCGAGAACCGGGGAACCACACGCCAGCCCCACGGAGCGAAGCGAUUUGGGGAACGUGUUUCAGCAGAUAAAGCUUCGAAGGUUUAUUUAAACUUCAAAGCGGGACGUGGUGAAUGGGGUUGCCCAAGAACUUCACUGGUAGGGCUGGAUUCUCCCUUCCGAAGGGAAGACAGUCCAGCCGUGAGAAGGACCUUAACGCACAUUUUUCCCUCCCUUCCUUCCACUUCAGGGAGACUUUUACCUCCCGCAGAUGAUGUGCAAAACACCAAUUUAAAUAAAACCUUCCAAUAGCCUGAAUUAGAAGAAGAAAUGACGAGUCCUUAGACACGAGCUGCC
Chroicocephalus ridibundus (black-headed gull) is the source of this 703-nucleotide long non-coding RNA. RefSeq lists it as uncharacterized. The record is from RefSeq and is a predicted model, not a curated record. Lineage: Eukaryota; Metazoa; Chordata; Aves; Charadriiformes; Laridae. The transcript is spliced from 3 exons.